CACAGAUGAGCAGCUCUUGCUUUUUUGACCAGAGACUAUUCACAGCUGGAAUAAGUACUACAUCCACUAAACAUUAUGGAAGCGGCUAGCUGUAAGUUGCCAAGUGGCAUGGUGCCAUGUGAUGGCUGACUUUUCCAGGUCUUCACAUGAGAGGGGUCAACACUACACUGUGAUGUCAAGGUCACCAUGGUGCCCAAUACCUUUGUAGAUAUUAUUUUGCAGGCAUUCCCACAUAAAAAACACAAGGCUAGGAGGGACUGAAGACAUGAUUCGAAGACUAUGAACUUCCUCUCUCUCAUAGGGGUGUGAGUAUAUUCUCUAAACAAAAAAAGAUAAAUACAAAAUUUAAUGAUCACAAUUUUAAAUUAAUCCAUUGUGUUAUUUGAUGUUUUUACUUACUCAUCGCUCAUUUCCAUUUCAAAAUCUCGGUCAGAGUCUUCAUCUUCCUCAGGAAUGUAGUCUAAAUCACCAUCAUCAUCAUCAUCAUCAUCAUCAGCAGCAGCAGCACUACUGUCGUCUGAAAAAUCCACUUCCAUUGAAGAACAGUUCUUUUCAACCGAGUUGCCGAGCUUAACCUGGCAGGAAAAAUCCUUUGCUCUUGAAAGCAGGCUUUGGGUCCCACGAUGACAUUUGGCAACUGGAGUGACAUGCCAGGAUUUUGGAGUUUGACAUGAUUUAGUGCAUUUCACAACUAUUUCAGUCUGUGACACUUUAUUCUGAAAAUGAAUAAAAAAAUGAAAUGUUUACAAUUCUGAAAAUAAGUUUUCAAAAGAUCUUUGGGUCGGGAUUUAUAAAAUUCUAAUUCCCAAGUCUUGCUCUUUUGUAGAGAAAAUUGAGUUUUAUGGAAGGAAUUUUUAAAUUUAUAUUAGACCCACUCCUACAUACCAUUCCAGUUGACAUUGUCUGUACACAUGCAUGAGUGGUCAGAGGUAGUUCAAAAGACACAUUAGGCUUGGCAUUUGUUGAGAUGUUGGUUUCAUAGCAAGCCUCUGCAUCAUCCGACGACUCCAUUUGACAUACACUUGCCUCAUAAGCUUGUAGAGCACAGCUAACUGUCUGAAAUAUAUGUAAUGGAAGAGAUUACAGUGGAUAA
Fundulus heteroclitus (mummichog) is the source of this 1093-nucleotide long non-coding RNA. RefSeq lists it as uncharacterized. Lineage: Eukaryota; Metazoa; Chordata; Actinopteri; Cyprinodontiformes; Fundulidae. The record is from RefSeq and is a predicted model, not a curated record. The transcript has 2 exons.